RNAcentral lists this ribosomal RNA (468 nucleotides) under uncultured bacterium. RNAcentral's name for it is "partial 16S ribosomal RNA". It matches the Rfam family "Bacterial small subunit ribosomal RNA", at positions 36 to 507 of the family's 1533-position model. The record is from RNAcentral.
UCCUCCCUCUUUCUUCGUGCUUAACACAUGCAAGUCGAACGGAAAGGCCCUGCUUUUGUGGGGUGCUCGAGUGGCGAACGGGUGAGUAACACGUGAGUAACCUGCCCUUGACUUUGGGAUAACUUCAGGAAACUGGGGCUAAUACCGGAUAGGAGCUCCUGCUGCAUGGUGGGGGUUGGAAAGUUUCGGCGGUUGGGGAUGGACUCGCGGCUUAUCAGCUUGUUGGUGGGGUAGUGGCCUACCAAGGCUUUGACGGGUAGCCGGCCUGAGAGGGUGACCGGCCACAUUGGGACUGAGAUACGGCCCAGACUCCUACGGGAGGCAGCAGUGGGGAAUAUUGCACAAUGGGCGGAAGCCUGAUGCAGCAACGCCGCGUGCGGGAUGACGGCCUUCGGGUUGUAAACCGCUUUCGCCUGUGACGAAGCGUGAGUGACGGUAAUGGGUAAAGAAGCACCGGCUAACUACGUG